CUCAGCGCUGGAACGAGUGCUCAGUUUAGCCUCCAAAGGCCCUUGUUGUUUCUCAAGUGUCUUCAAUGUUCCGAGAGGUGCGUUAAGUGGAUUGUAAUGAGACUUUUAGUUCUGUGAAGUGGCAGUGAUGAAAUUUCGAGUGAUGAAGGGAUUUUUGACCUCUUGAGGUGUCAGUUCACGGAACCGCCACGACUCGUCCCGAAGAUAUCCCUCUGGGAACAGGCAGGCGCCGACGGGUUGUGUUUGAAGGAGUCUGUGAUGCAUACAGUAACGAUGUAAAAACAAGGGAGAGAAGGAAGGAGUCAAGGCAGUGGUGCAACGACUCUCGGGGUCAUGCUCCGGUCACUGACAUCUCCAACGUUGCCCUCCAACGUUGGUCAAAGAAAAGAGGGAAUAACUCUUUCUCAUCGUCCCUCUACCUUCCUCAGCCAUUGGUCAUGGUAAAUCCAACUUUGCCCUUCUCCUUUUGUAACCAUUCACGAUGUUGAGGGUCAUCCUCACAGUGGACCAGCAAAAGUCCAACUGGAGUAUUUUGGGUGCAGCUCAACUCAGGGAUAAAGCCCAAAUUGUGGUUUCAUAAUCGAUGAAAGAGCUUUCGUUAUGUCAAACUAUGCUGUUACCCAGUUAGUUAAGAGUUACCGAGGUUACUGAGUUCAGUGAUAAGACGGAGCAAGUUUUGAUGGCUGUGGUUUAACGUGGUUAGGUCAUUUCGACAAUUUCGACAUGAUCAUUCCUGGUUUAGUCCUGACAGCAGAUGAAUUUGACGGCUUUCGUGAGUACUCGCUGUUGCCAAGCCGCACCAUAUCUCCCAGUAUCUUCAGACCAACGUUUGAUUAACGGAAAAUUAAAGAUUUGUUACUUCCUACAGGAAUGAUCGAACGAGUACACGUUAAUUCGGUGGGUACUAAUCAACUUGAUGUCAUUCUCAAACACAACUAGCAAUCAUUUACCGGAAAAUUUCAAUUACUCAAUAAUCCAUCAUGUCGAGAGCACUAAGUACCUUGUCAGCCUUCAGUUCAAUUUAUUAACGUGUGUAAUAUUGCCAGAGAUUUUUCUUUGUUCUACAUCAGCUUCUCUCGCUCCCUCGGCCCAUAUGAAUAGCCACAUUAGCAUAAAUAAAUCAGUAUAAAUGUCGUGUUGGCCUUGUCAACAUUUGCCAAUCAAACAAGAAAACCAAUGGACCAGAACGCCUCUAAUUGUUGAACAAGUGUAACGACUACUGAGGAUCAGAAUUACCAUGAGGUCUCAAUGACUUCAGCCCAAGAAUCGCAUCAGAGAUCACGUCUGGCUGAAUUUCACUUGAGAAAAAGUCAAGAUAAUACCGAAAAGCAGUCUCAUUUUUCUUUUUUUUUACCCGAGGGCUUUUCCCAUCGUUUGUUUGAGUCGAGAUGCGAUGCUAGAAGCCCCAGCUGAGGACGAGGGGAAGGGAAGAACGGCGAUGAAGAAGGAUAAUCCGCCUUGACGGAACGACUAGCACCGGUUGAAUCGAGAUCAGCGCGAGCGUUAUAUACAUCGGUUGGGUUUUUGAAUUUGUAGGGGUGAAGGAGGUGGCACUGGAAUGGUGGUAGCAGAAACAGUUUGUGAGUGGAGAUCGUCAAAAGCAUCAAAAGGUGCCUUUACCAUUGUCGCCUUAAACCAUACUUAUCGUUAGUACGAAACUCCUAAUUGGAGUUGCGAAACUACGUUCUUCUUCAGUCAGCGGAAUACCUUUAUUCAAGUUAGU
Molecule: long non-coding RNA, 1723 nt
Organism: Fopius arisanus
Lineage: Eukaryota; Metazoa; Arthropoda; Insecta; Hymenoptera; Braconidae
Exons: 4
Source: RefSeq, a predicted model, not a curated record